CCUACGGGAGGCAGCAGUAGGGAAUCUUCCACAAUGGGCGCAAGCCUGAUGGAGCAACACCGCGUGAGUGAAGAAGGGUUUCGGCUCGUAAAGCUCUGUUGUUGGAGAAGAACGUGCGUGAGAGUAACUGUUCACGCAGUGACGGUAUCCAACCAGAAAGUCACGGCUAACUACGUGCCAGCAGCCGCGGUAAUACGUAGGUGGCAAGCGUUAUCCGGAUUUACUGGGUGUAAAGGGCGUGCAGCCGGAGAGACAAGUCAGAUGUGAAAUCCACGGGCUCAACCCGUGAACUGCAUUUGAAACUG
RNAcentral lists this ribosomal RNA (305 nucleotides) under uncultured bacterium. RNAcentral describes it as "bacterial SSU rRNA". It matches the Rfam family "Bacterial small subunit ribosomal RNA", at positions 338 to 635 of the family's 1533-position model. The record is from RNAcentral.